UACAGAGGGUGCAAGCGUUAAUCGGAAUUACUGGGCGUAAAGCGCGCGUAGGUGGUUUGUUAAGUUGGAUGUGAAAUCCCCGGGCUUAACCUGGGAACUGCAUUGGUGACUGGCAGGCUUUGAGUGUGGCAGAGGGAGGUAGAAUUCCACGUGUAGCAGUGAAAUGCGUAGAGAAUGUGGAGGAAUACCGAUGGCGAAGGCAGCCUCCUGGGCCAACACUGACGCUCAUGCACGAAAGCGUGGGGAGCAAACACGG
Molecule: ribosomal RNA, 256 nt
Filed under: uncultured bacterium
Lineage: Bacteria
Description: partial 16S ribosomal RNA
Rfam family: Bacterial small subunit ribosomal RNA
Source: RNAcentral